This 401-nucleotide ribosomal RNA is filed under the name uncultured bacterium. RNAcentral describes it as "bacterial SSU rRNA". It matches the Rfam family "Bacterial small subunit ribosomal RNA", at positions 29 to 416 of the family's 1533-position model. The record is from RNAcentral.
AACGAACGUUGGCGGCGUGGAUGAGGCAUGCAAGUCGAACGCGAAAGCCGCAAGGUGAGUAAAGUGGCGGACGGGCGAGUAACACGUAAUCAAGCUACCUGUGAGACGGGGAUAACUUCGGGAAACCGAAGCUAAGACCCGAUGGCCUUAGGAGACCGCAUGGUUUCCUAAGUAAAUGGGCGGGACCUUUCGGGGUCGCCUGCUCGCAGAGGUGAUUGCGGCCCAUCAGCUAGUUGGUAGGGUAAUGGCCUACCAAGGCAACGACGGGUAGCCGGCCUUAGAGGGUGGUCGGCCGCACUGGGACUGAGACACUGCCCAGACUCCUACGGGAGGCUGCAGUCGAGAAUCUUCCGCAAUGGGCGAAAGCCUGACGGAGCGACGCCGCGUGGAGGAUGAAGGCC